RNAcentral lists this ribosomal RNA (768 nucleotides) under uncultured bacterium. RNAcentral's name for it is "bacterial SSU rRNA". It matches the Rfam family "Bacterial small subunit ribosomal RNA", at positions 561 to 1327 of the family's 1533-position model. The record is from RNAcentral.
UAAAGAGCUCGUAGGUGGUUUGUCGCGUUGUUCGUGAAAUCUCACAGCUUAACUGUGAGCGUGCGGGCGAUACGGGCAGACUUGAGUACUGCAGGGGAGACUGGAAUUCCUGGUGUAGCGGUGGAAUGCGCAGAUAUCAGGAGGAACACCGGUGGCGAAGGCGGGUCUCUGGGCAGUAACUGACGCUGAGGAGCGAAAGCGUGGGGAGCGAACAGGAUUAGAUACCCUGGUAGUCCACGCCGUAAACGGUGGGUACUAGGUGUGGGUUUCCUUCCUUGGGAUCCGUGCCGUAGCUAACGCAUUAAGUACCCCGCCUGGGGAGUACGGCCGCAAGGCUAAAACUCAAAGAAAUUGACGGGGGCCCGCACAAGCGGCGGAGCAUGUGGAUUAAUUCGAUGCAACGCGAAGAACCUUACCUGGGUUUGACAUGCACAGGACGCCGGCAGAGAUGUCGGUUCCCUUGUGGCCUGUGUGCAGGUGGUGCAUGGCUGUCGUCAGCUCGUGUCGUGAGAUGUUGGGUUAAGUCCCGCAACGAGCGCAACCCUUGUCUCAUGUUGCCAGCGGGUAAUGCCGGGGACUCGUGAGAGACUGCCGGGGUCAACUCGGAGGAAGGUGGGGAUGACGUCAAGUCAUCAUGCCCCUUAUGUCCAGGGCUUCACACAUGCUACAAUGGCCGGUACAAAGGGCUGCGAUGCCGCGAGGUUAAGCGAAUCCUUUUAAAGCCGGUCUCAGUUCGGAUCGGGGUCUGCAACUCGACCCCGUGAAGUC